RNAcentral lists this transfer RNA (72 nucleotides) under Camelus bactrianus (Bactrian camel). It matches the Rfam family "tRNA". From Rfam's summary of the family: Transfer RNA (tRNA) molecules are approximately 80 nucleotides in length. RNAcentral also lists the same sequence under 2 other names. Lineage: Eukaryota; Metazoa; Chordata; Mammalia; Artiodactyla; Camelidae. The record is from Rfam by way of RNAcentral.
GAGGGUAUAGCGCAGUGGUAGAGUGUGUGCUUAGCGUGCAUGAGGUCCUGGGUUCAAUCCUCAGUUCCUCCA